RNAcentral lists this ribosomal RNA (164 nucleotides) under Aglaia lawii. RNAcentral describes it as "5.8S ribosomal RNA". It matches the Rfam family "5.8S ribosomal RNA". From Rfam's summary of the family: 5.8S ribosomal RNA (5.8S rRNA) is a component of the large subunit of the eukaryotic ribosome. It is transcribed by RNA polymerase I as part of the 45S precursor that also contains 18S and 28S rRNA. Functionally, it is thought that 5.8S rRNA may be involved in ribosome translocation. Lineage: Eukaryota; Viridiplantae; Streptophyta; Magnoliopsida; Sapindales; Meliaceae. The record is from RNAcentral.
AAWACGACUCUCGGCAACGGAUAUCUCGGCUCUCGCAUCGAUGAAGAACGUAGCRAAAUGMGAUACUUGGUGUGAAUUGCAGAAUCCCGUGAACCAUCGAGUCUUUGAACGCAAGUUGCGCCCUAAGCCGUUAGGCCGAGGGCACGUCUGCCUGGGUGUCACGC